GCCUCCUUUCACCACUCGGUUUGGACUAUUGUAAUCAAAAGCAAAAGGUGACCUUAAGUCGCCAAUGCCUAAUUUCAAAGCCUUAUAUCAACAUCCUAACCACCAUUGUAUCAAUUGAAAACAGGGCAACCAAGUAGGUGAAUUUACAAGACAAGUCUGGAACUUUGGUAGAAGAAAGGGUGGUGAAAAUGGACAAAUAUAGCCAAGGCUUUGUGGUUGAGUUUCUAUUUCCUUUGAUAAUUUUGAGAAGCUGCCAAGGCUUUGUUAUUUAUAGCUACUUACAGCGAUGAUAUCUCCACAGCUAUACAGUUUGUCAAUAAGGCAAGGCCAUGGAUUACAUUGAUGGUCGUUGGCUGGGAAUAUGGUGCAAACAUGUUGACGAAGUACUUGGCAGAAGCUGGAGAGAAUACAUCGCUUACAGUUGCCAUGUGCAUAGACAAUCCAUUUGACUUAGAGGAGGCUACAAGGAAACCCCCAAAUCAAAAGCCAUAGCCCCUUCCAAUCAAAAAAGAAAAAAAGAAGAAGAAGAAGGAAAACCAUAGCUUCUCAUCUGUUUCUCUCUCCAGUCUCUAUGCUUCGCCUUUAGUGCACCUUCUCCUUUGUCUCUGCUCCUAAUGAUGAAUUGGGAUUGAAGGGAGCAAAAUCAAGAUGCCGUGGACGUCCUCUUUUGAUUCAAAUUCGUAAAAGCUUCCUUACUCUCUCUCUCUCCAUGUGGCGUGAGGUCAAAUAUUUGCUUUCUCUGUUCUAAAAAACAAUUUAUAGAACUCAAUGUUUUAUGUUAAAUAAAUAUAUGAUGUACUCUUCUAUAUAAUGCAGAUUUGUUGUAUUAUGUUCUUUCUCUACUCUUUUUGAGUCAUAGCAAAAGAAUUUG
This is a long non-coding RNA of Quercus robur (English oak), 871 nucleotides long. RefSeq lists it as uncharacterized. The record is from RefSeq and is a predicted model, not a curated record. Lineage: Eukaryota; Viridiplantae; Streptophyta; Magnoliopsida; Fagales; Fagaceae. The transcript is spliced from 4 exons.